Molecule: long non-coding RNA, 655 nt
Organism: Rhododendron vialii
Lineage: Eukaryota; Viridiplantae; Streptophyta; Magnoliopsida; Ericales; Ericaceae
Exons: 3
Source: RefSeq, a predicted model, not a curated record
AGAUUCAUUAGAUGCAGACUUCUUUUUUCAGCCGUUGGAUCUCAUCCAACGGCUGGGAUUUUAAAAUUGAACUCGCGGGUCAAAUGGGGGCAUGGGUCGGGUAAAAUUGGUAUCGGGUCAACCGGUUCCCACACGCGGAUCCUUUUUUCUUUUCCAGCUUCCGGUGGAAGCUUUGCUUUUGCUUCAAACGGAGAGAGAGAUUGAGGGCGAUUUUGAACGACGACCGACGAAACGAAGAACAAAUCGACUGCAAAAACCAUGAAGUUAACACGAACAGAUCGAUCGAAUAAGAAGAACGACUGGAGGGUACUGCGCGAAGACGAUCGAGUGAGAACAAGGAGUUAGAUCGAUGUAGAGAGGAACUUGAAGCUUUGUUAUUAGUUGAAGAAAGAGCCUGAGACAGCGAUGAAGGGUUUUACCCGUAGACCAUCACACUUCCGAGCUUGAACUAGAAGACGACAAAAUUGAGUUUUUCACAAUCGUAGAGAAAUUUUUUUUUUUUUGGGUAUAUGUUUGGUGUUUCUUCUGAUCGAGUGUUGUUUUGGUACAUCUAAGUUUAAUUCUUUCGUUGUAUGCAUGAACCUUAUGAGUUGUGACUGCACCGGAAAUGUGACUAGAAAUUUUGUAUCUAUUUGAGCUUAUUGAAACUUGAACU